CGCCUUCUUUAGACAGCGAGUAUGGGAUUAGAUUUGUGCCAAUAGGAUCAAGAAAAACACUUUGGAGAGCAAACAAAUUUUAAGACAUUGAGAGAAAAAACAUUGGUUUCAAAAGAAAAACUUACGAUCUGAAUCAGAUUCUUAAAAUGAUCAAGAAAAACACUUUGACGGUCAAACAAAAAUUAAAAAAUUGACAAAACAAAAAUAUUGACUAAAGGAAAAAAAAACAUGUUUCAAAAGUAAAACUUACUUUCUGAAUCAACUUCUUAAAAUGAGUAACAAAGUAUGUUUCCUUUUUCUGUUUGCCUCUAUGUGUUUUUGUUAUCAAUUUCCUUAGUUUUGUUCUCGCUGCUCAGAGCUUUACUCUCAUUACCAGAUUUGCACUUACACUGUCUGGCUUUCUCCUUUGCAAUCCCUGAGUUUUUGGUUGCAAUUCUGACACAACCCUUUCGGGUGGGCGGGACUUCUGAGAAGUCCUCUCCCAUAGGACAGUGGUUUCUCUAGAGUGACAGUUCAGUGACUUGGAAGUGAUGUAGCCUCCAAGACAUUUUUUUUCUACCUGGUCAACAACAUGAAUUGUGAGCCUCAAACACGUUAUUUCUGCUGUCUGUGGUGUCUACUGAGGAUCUAAAGUGAGUAUUGGUAAUACAUUUUAUCUUUUCUUAGUUAAUCUGUAAGUUAAACCACUUUUUAAGUUGGUUUUAAGCAGACGUUAGCUCACUAGCUAGCUGCUAAGCAAGCCAUUGUGCUAGCCUCAGGACAAUGUUCUAUUGUUCCAGAGAGACGUAUUAAAAACUCAUCUUAACAUAUUCAUUACUGGUUUCAUGGAAUUAAUUAUUGCAGUUUAUGUUAAUAAGUUUGCUAAUUUUUCAGGAACCUGUGGAACAUCAGAGACUUUGCAGCUAUUAGAGCUAACCUGUGUACUGCUUACUUGCUACUGAAGAAGCAGCAGAAAGCUGAGCUAACAGGCUGUUUUGCAGUGAAACGAAUGGAUUUUAUGAUGUAACUCAGACUGAAUAAUUAUCUAAGUGAGUAUGUUUGAUAAUAAAUUUCUUUCCAGUAUACAGAUCUGACAUUUGUUUGUCAGAACAAGACAAAUCAGAUUCAAUGUGCUUUCUGUCACGUGUUCUAUAUUCUCCAUCAAAAGAAUAUUAUCCAAGGCAGAUAAUCAAUAAUGAGUUUAAUACAUGCUUUUAAUUAAUUUUUACAUAAAAUCUAUAUUUUUGUCUAAAAGCUAUUUUAGACUGGCUUUCUCAGUCCUAGCACCGUUACUCUGGAACCAGUUGCCACCCUCAGUUAGGCUGUCCCCCUCUCUGCUAGUCUUUAAGAAUCACCUAAAAACACACCUCCUCUGCUUGGCGUUUCCAGAACAUGUUUGAUUUUGGCCCUCUUUUAUGUUGAAUUUAUUUCAGUUUUCAUUGGUUCACUCAAUCCAUCCACUCAAUCCAAAUGUGUUUCACACAUUUGUCCUGUACCAGAGUGUUUCAUCUAUCUUGUAAUUUCCAUUUUGUAUUUUGUAAUUUGUAUUUUGUAAUUUGAAUUGCUUUUAUUGUUGAUUUAUUCAAUAUAUUUACCUACAACUGUACCAUGUUCAGCGCUUUGGGCUUCCUGACAGGGUUGCUGAAGGUGCUUUAUAAAUAAAGCUUGAUUGAUUGAUUUUUUAUUUAUUUGUUCUUUCUUUUUAGAUUGAAAACUACUGCAUUGCAUUACAAUGGAAGUGCUACACGGCCACAUGCAUCAACUGCAGCUGGUGAGCUAAGACACACCAUAGUGUACACAAAGUACACUGCAGACAAGGGAUGUAAGAAAAUAUCAAUAUGACAAUAUAUCGCGAUAUAUUUUCCCAGUGAUAUUGUAUCGAUAUUCUCAAACUGUGUCUCUAAAAUAUCGAUAUGGCAAUAUAUCGUGAUAUUUUUUCCUGAGAUAUUACAUCCAUUUUCAAAAGCUGUGUAUCUAGUUUUUGGAAGAAUUUACAUGCAAACAUUUUUGUAUUUUUUUUGUUUUUGGUGCACUUUAAAUGUCGACCGCUAGUCGGCAGCAGUGUGCAUUGGGUUUUGUUUCCACCAUUGAAAUUUAAAUCUCGCUAUUAUGGUUCAGAUAAAGCCGGGCGUACACUGUGCGACUUUUUCACUCGCAGCGUUCAGCUCCAGCUCACACUGUACGACUUCCUCGCAGGGCAGAUCUCACGAGUCAGGCGCUCACACUGUACGACCCAGUUCUCGGAUGCGACCUGACUGCUCACACUGUACGUCUGGUAGCAACAUGUCGGCCCUAAAAAUGUGCUAAAAAUAGCAGUUUUUACUCAACACGUCAGACGUUUUUGUCUUGUUUUGCCUGUUGUCCUUCGGGAGUGCUGCAGGAGGACACACAGGGAUUUAUGGGGGUUGGAUGAGGAAAACGAAAUAAAGAAAGUAAAUCUGUGUUUUGUGAUCAGUUUAAUUUGACAUGAACACGACAAACACGCUUUCUUGACAAUUCUCAAACGUGUAGAAACAAAAACGAACAGCGUGUGUUAUUAGGGAAAUAGCGAGCGAGCGGCGUUGAUGCAUGAUUGCGCAUGCGGCGUGAGCGGUUCUGAUACUUUUUGGGUCGCAGCUGCUCGCAGCGCCACUUCAACAGUGCGAUACCCUCACGAGGGACGAGCUAAAUAUUAAACACGCCAGAAGUCCGUGCGACCUCACGAUUGCUUAUCGGCAGCUGGUCACGUGGUGUUAAUCGCCUCUCGUAACCCCCUGUACACUACACGACCGCUCGGCGCAAAACUCGCCCCGAUGUCGUGGAUUCUCGCACGACUGGAAAAUCGGCUCAAAAAAGUGAAAAAGUCGCACAGUGUACACCCGGCUUAACUCAUGUUACAUAUGUUAAGUAUCAGUUUGGACUGUUUAUUGAAUAUUCCUACAAUAAAUUCAGUCAAAAAUACACAUCCCUACUGCAGACCAAUCCCACCUCAUGUAGUUCAUAUGCUGUAUAAUAAACCCACAGUGAUGGUUAUGGAUAAAUAUCUGUACUAAUGGUAAUCUUUUUCCAUUGUUUCCAGUUGACAAGCAUAUGGACCUAUUGUUCGAGUCCGUGGUGGUGGAUGCUCUAUCAUAUCAGGAGUCUGUGGUGGUGGAUGCUCUACCAUAUCAGGAGUCUGUGGUGGUGGAUGCUCUACCAUAUCAGGAGUCUGUGGUGGUGGAUGCUCUAUCAUAUCAGGAGUCUGUGGUGGUGGAUGCUCUACCAUAUCAGGAGUCUGUGGUGGUGGAUGCUCUACCAUAUCAGGAGUCUGUGGUGGUGGAUGCUCUACCAUAUCAGGAGUCUGACUAAGUACCUGUGCCUGAACCUCUCUGUGUCUAGUUCAAAAGACCUGCUGUAAGCAGGCACAGGUUAAGAUUUUAAAAGAACCUGUAAGGUGAGCAACACAACACAAUAUAAAUCUUUAUUAUUAUUGUACGCUGUACAGCUAGAAUAAACUUGCAUGCUCAGAAGCCACGUAUGAUUACAUCGCCUACAGGUUGCCUGAUGCUGAACUUCGGGCAGCUGCGUGUGACUGUACUCCCGAGGAACAACCGCCUGUUGGAGGAGUCGUUGUGUUGCUGUCAGGAGUUUGGGUCGGAGUCCUGGGUUUGUGUUCCCUUUAAUCUCUUCAUUAGCCUUGCUAGUCACCAUUGCAGAGCACCAUGGAGAGGCUUACCUGAAAACUCUUCUCAUGGGGCAGGCACAUCCUCACACACCUGUAACCCCAUCCUUCAAUAAAAGCUGGUAGCUGGUCACUCAAGAGUGUUUUAACCCAUAUCUAGCCCAUGACUCUGCCGUUUUUCAAACUUACGUUCUCAUGUUCUAUGCAGAUCUAUGGGAAUUCUUUCCUUGAAGCUCCUGAUCACACAACCAUACUGGCAGUCUGCUUACCCACUACCUUCUGCUCACCCGCUUGCAACUCAUGCUGUCAUUCUCCCAGACUUCUGGUUGUUGCUCCACCAUUCUGCUGUCUCCCGUCUGCUCUACAAUUUCAGACCGGCCUUCUGAUCUUUAAACACUAAAACCUGUGGCUCCAUCUCUGUGGCGUUUCUCAGUCUCU
This is a non-coding RNA of Nothobranchius furzeri (turquoise killifish), 4057 nucleotides long. The record is from RefSeq and is a predicted model, not a curated record. NCBI's taxonomy places the organism in Eukaryota, Metazoa, Chordata, Actinopteri, Cyprinodontiformes, Nothobranchiidae.